RNAcentral lists this ribosomal RNA (497 nucleotides) under uncultured bacterium. RNAcentral describes it as "partial 16S ribosomal RNA". It matches the Rfam family "Bacterial small subunit ribosomal RNA", at positions 28 to 507 of the family's 1533-position model. The record is from RNAcentral.
GAUGAACGCUGGCGGCGUGCCUAAUACAUGCAAGUCGAGCGAACGGACGAGAAGCUUGCUUUUCUGAUGUUAGCGGCGGACGGGUGAGUAACACGUGGAUAACCUACCUAUAAGACUGGGAUAACUUCGGGAAACCGGAGCUAAUACCGGAUAAUAUUUUGAACCGCAUGGUUCAAAAGUGAAAGACGGUCUUGCUGUCACUUAUAGAUGGAUCCGCGCUGCAUUAGCUAGUUGGUAAGGUAACGGCUUACCAAGGCAACGAUGCAUAGCCGACCUGAGAGGGUGAUCGGCAACACUGGAACUGAGACACGGUCCAGAAUCCUACGGGAGGCAGCAGUAGGGAAUCUUCCGCAAUGGGCGAAAGCCUGACGGAGCAACGCCGCGUGAGUGAUGAAGGUCUUCGGAUCGUAAAACUCUGUUAUUAGGGAAGAACAUAUGUGUAAGUAACUGUGCACAUCUUGACGGUACCUAAUCAGAAAGCCACGGCUAACUACGUG